This is a long non-coding RNA of Nymphaea colorata (pocket water lily), 573 nucleotides long. RefSeq lists it as uncharacterized. The record is from RefSeq and is a predicted model, not a curated record. The transcript is spliced from 3 exons. Lineage: Eukaryota; Viridiplantae; Streptophyta; Magnoliopsida; Nymphaeales; Nymphaeaceae.
CUGACAUUGGGUUCAUGGCUAGAAGAAACUAAGUCAUGAUGUGGUUCUCAUCACAUCACUAUGCACCCAUAAUAGAUGAUUCACGAUGUGGUUCUCAGCCACUUUUUAAUAGUGAAAAACAAAUUAAAAACUAUAGUGUAAAUUUAUCCCAGCAUUUGUUGCUCCACCUAUCCUUUUAGAAAUAGGAGUUAAGACCCGACUUCAUCUUCCGCAAGUGGACGGCAAGAAGCCAAGAACCUGUCCGCUGCUUCUCUGGUUCUCUCCCUUCUUCCUUCGGGCUCCCAGAGUACUCUGUAGCAGCGGUGCCCACCGUCGACCUUCCAUUUGCUGGUGAGGGGCGACUCCUCCACCCUUCCCCCGUCACGGCCAGAACAGAAGAUUAGGAUUUCGAUGGUCGGUUUGUGUGUAUGUGGAGAAUGGGUACCGACAGCACCACCGGCCAUCCGUCGUCGAUCUCUUGUUCGCCGGUGACUUACGGCCAUUCCCCAUCAGGUUUCAUGUGGUUAUUCGAUGAUUUUGAGAUGAUUUGCAGAAGGAGAUUAGCUGGUCAUAAUUAGUGCAGGAGGAAAACCC